RNAcentral lists this ribosomal RNA (330 nucleotides) under Neocallimastigales sp. Its description in RNAcentral is "partial large subunit ribosomal RNA". The record is from RNAcentral. Lineage: Eukaryota; Fungi; Neocallimastigomycota; Neocallimastigomycetes; Neocallimastigales.
UGUUGUUUUCUCGAAAAUCAAUUAAAAAUGGCUUGAUUUUGUGUUGUAUUGACCUUAAAAGCUUUCUGCACUUUUUUCAUGUCUUUUUUAAUGCACUUUUCGUUUAACAAGUCAACAUCAGUUUCUUUUGUUGUAAAAAGGUCAUUGGAAGGUGGCUUUCUUUUCGGAGAAAGUGUUUAUAGCCUUUGACUCCUGCAAUCGGAGAGACUGAGGUCUGCAGCGUAGAUCCUUCUUGGAUUAGAUUCAUUUGUGCUAAGUUAUAGCUUUUUAUAGACAACUUGUUGACUAUAUUUAGUCUUGUAGCUUACUCGCUUAUGCAAUUUUACCUAC